GCCGCCUCGGCGGCGGCUACGGUUUGAAAGUCCACGCCGCCUCUGGCUCGCUUGGUGCAGGUCGGGAACGCCUCGAUCCGGGUCUGAGGGGCCGCUUACCGCCUUGCACCAACUGAAUCGGAGGCGGAAAUCGAUGGUCUCCCCUUUUAGCGCGGCUCCCGGCUGCUGGGUCUCGACGCUUGGAGCAAACACUUGUGCAGAGCGCAGAAAGCAUGCUGUUCACAAACAACUCGGCUCAUGUCAGUCCACAGAUUGUUCAAGAUCAGAUCUAUUUGAUCCAUGAAAACCAAGCUCGAAUUCAAUUUCAAACCAAACCUAACUGGAUAAGGAUUGCUCGAUUGCGGAAUUUAACACAGAGGCAGCGCAUGUUAACCGAGGAGUCCGCAAAGGAUGAACAAUGAGAUGAUGAAAAGGGAGCCCCAGUUGUAGGAGCAUCAGGAUGAGUUAUUCCCAAGCUUCCGAAACAUUUUCAGGCUCAAACCACUUGGUUUAGAUCUUCAAUGUAGACAAGGUUUUGUAUACAAUCAUAGGAUCCUUAAUCACUAAGCAGUACAUCAUAAUGUAAUCAAGGCACACAGUUUUGAUACUAUAUUGACUUCAGAGCAACAAGUCUUGGUGUUUGUCCAUUGUUGCCUGAUAGAUUUAUUUGUUUCUAUAAUGUGAAGCAGAAGAGUUACCAGUGCUCAGUGCAUGUUGGAUGGUGGCCAGUGGCAACUGGGAGAGGGAUUUUAU
Long non-coding RNA from Musa acuminata AAA Group (dessert banana), 732 nucleotides. RefSeq lists it as uncharacterized. The record is from RefSeq and is a predicted model, not a curated record. The transcript has 3 exons. Lineage: Eukaryota; Viridiplantae; Streptophyta; Magnoliopsida; Zingiberales; Musaceae.